Molecule: long non-coding RNA, 1024 nt
Filed under: Homo sapiens (human)
Lineage: Eukaryota; Metazoa; Chordata; Mammalia; Primates; Hominidae
Description: HSALNT0048277
Source: RNAcentral
CCAUCCUGUACUCAAGUAUUAAUUGCCCUAUUUUCUGCAUUAACUUUUAAGGUUUUUAAACGUUUUAAAGAAGGAACUAAGUAAAAUUCUUUGGAAUCCUUGAAGGGUUUUAAGCAUUUAAAAUGUUUAUGGUUAUCAGUAUCGAUUCAGACUAAAUUUCUAUAAAGUUAUCAAAGAAGAAUAUAAAUUUAGAAUACAUAAGUCAUAAUAUGAUUUUAGAACAAUACUGUUUCAGCCUUUCUAUUUUAGUUGCUAACUGUAUUUGGGUAGGUCUCCCAAAUAAGGAGAGAAGAGAGGAAUUGCCAGGCCUUCCAGAUAAGAUUUCCAGUAUUCUAAACUAUGGAAAUGUUAGAGAAACUUGCAAAUUCUAGCAGGCCAGAGACAUUGAAUGUUUUUUUUCUUAUUAAGAAAUAAUACUUUAAAAUGCAGAACAAUUUUGACUUCAGUGAUCUUUGAAUCCAGCUCAAGAGUAGGUAUGCAGAACCACUCCACCACAGUGCCUUGAAGGAACUGGUCUUCUAGAAGGGAGUAUGGUGUAUAUGUAAGUCCACACCAAGGGCAGGGAAGUGGGGCUGUGGGAGAGUAAAGACAUCUCAAUCCGACCUAAUACAGAUUUAUGAAGGAGCAGUAGAUGGAAGACUAAGGGGGGAAGAGAAAAGGAAGCAGGAAGAAAAGAGGCCUGUAUAUUGGGGUUAUGCUGUAUUGGGGUCCAAAAUACAUUGGACAGGUUUUCUCUUCAGGGCAUUUGAUUAAAGGGUGGUAGGUGUGGGUAUGGGUGUGGGGGUAUAUGUGUGUGUGUGUGUGUGUCUGACUGUUGGUGAAAGUACUUAAUGCAAAAUAAUUCCUUUCCAGAUCUCUCUGGCAUGAAGAACAUGGAACAAGGUAUAACAGUUAAUAAUAGUUGUGUUUAAAAUUAGUGUGAAGUAGUAUUCGAUUGGAAUUCUGUAUAGCAUAUAUUAUUUCACCUAAGGCAUUAAAGAUGAUUACAGUCAUUUACUACUAAAAAUGUGGUCUGAGGACCUAC